Molecule: transfer RNA, 85 nt
Filed under: Candidatus Rubrimentiphilum sp.
Lineage: Bacteria; Bacillati; Vulcanimicrobiota; Vulcanimicrobiia; Vulcanimicrobiales; Vulcanimicrobiaceae
Also listed under: 3 other names
Description: tRNA-Tyr
Rfam family: tRNA
About the family: Transfer RNA (tRNA) molecules are approximately 80 nucleotides in length. Their secondary structure includes four short double-helical elements and three loops (D, anti-codon, and T loops). Further hydrogen bonds mediate the characteristic L-shaped molecular structure. tRNAs have two regions of fundamental functional importance: the anti-codon, which is responsible for specific mRNA codon recognition, and the 3' end, to which the tRNAs corresponding amino acid is attached (by aminoacyl-tRNA synthetases). tRNAs cope with the degeneracy of the genetic code in two manners: having more than one tRNA (with a specific anti-codon) for a particular amino acid; and 'wobble' base-pairing, i.e. permitting non-standard base-pairing at the 3rd anti-codon position.
Source: RNAcentral
GGGUAGGUGGCCGAGUGGUUAAAGGCAACAGACUGUAAAUCUGUCCAGCUAACGCUGUACGCUGGUUCGAAUCCAGCCCUGCCCA